This 466-nucleotide ribosomal RNA is filed under the name uncultured bacterium. RNAcentral's name for it is "bacterial SSU rRNA". It matches the Rfam family "Bacterial small subunit ribosomal RNA", at positions 28 to 511 of the family's 1533-position model. The record is from RNAcentral.
GACGAACGCUGGCGGCGUGCUUAACACAUGCAAGUCGAGCGACGCUCUCCCUUCGGGGAGAUGACGGAGCGGCGAACGGGUGAGUAACACGUGGGCAACCUGCCCCUAGCUCUGGGACAACACCGGGAAACCGGUGCUAAUACCGGAUAUGACAUCGAGCGGCAUCUCUCGAUGUGGAAAGUUUUUUCGGCUAGGGAUGGGCCCGCGGCCUAUCAGCUUGUUGGUGGGGUAAUGGCCCACCAAGGCGACGACGGGUAGCCGGCCUGAGAGGGCGACCGGCCACACUGGGACUGAGACACGGCCCAGACUCCUACGGGAGGCAGCAGUGGGGAAUAUUGCGCAAUGGGCGAAAGCCUGACGCAGCGACGCCGCGUGAGGGAUGACGGCCUUCGGGUUGUAAACCUCUUUCAGCAGGGACGAAUUCAGACGGUACCUGCAGAAGAAGCACCGGCCAACUACGUGCCAG